UGGGGAAUAUUGCACAAUGGGCGCAAGCCUGAUGCAGCCAUGCCGCGUGUGUGAAGAAGGCCUUCGGGUUGUAAAGCACUUUCAGCGAGGAGGAAGGUGGUGAACUUAAUACGUUCAUCAAUUGACGUUACUCGCAGAAGAAGCACCGGCUAACUCCGUGCCAGCAGCCGCGGUAAUACGGAGGGUGCAAGCGUUAAUCGGAAUUACUGGGCGUAAAGCGCACGCAGGCGGUUUGUUAAGUCAGAUGUGAAAUCCCCGGGCUCAACCUGGGAACUGCAUUUGAAACUGGCAAGCUAGAGUCUCGUAGAGGGGGGUAGAAUUCCAGGUGUAGCGGUGAAAUGCGUAGAGAUCUGGAGGAAUACCGGUGGCGAAGGCGGCCCCCUGGACGAAGACUGACGCUCAGGUGCGAAAGCGUGGAGAGCAAACAGGAUUAGAUACCCUGGUAGUCCACGCUGUAAAACGAUGUCGAUUUUGGAGGUUGUGCCCUUGAGCGUGGCUUCCGGAGCUAACGCGUUAAAUCGACCGCCUGGGGAGUACGGCCGCAAGGUUAAAACUUAAAUGAAUUGAC
Molecule: ribosomal RNA, 568 nt
Filed under: uncultured bacterium
Lineage: Bacteria
Description: partial 16S ribosomal RNA
Rfam family: Bacterial small subunit ribosomal RNA
Source: RNAcentral